UAUUAAUUAUAUGUUUCGUCAAAUCUCAUGACUAAUCCCCCCUUACUCCUCUAUAAAUAGUUCCCCCACUCCGCCCCAACUCUCCACUACUGCAAACCCUAAACUCCAUCGCAACACCGCGUCCCAAAACCCUAAUCGCCCUUCUCUCGAUCUCGACCUUGACCUCUACCUCUCCUCCAUGGCUUCGGUGCGCUUUGCCAUCCUCUCCUCCAUGGCGAUCGGGUUUCUCCUCCUCGCGGCAAGCGCCUCCGCCCAGGCGCCGGGCGCCGCGCCCCGAUCGGCCCCGAUCCCCGCUCCAAAGGUGGCCCCGAUCCCUCCCCCCAGAGCGUCCCCGACGCCGGCCCCGGCACCGUCCGCGGCGACCCCGACCCCGACCCCGACCCCGGCCCCGGUCCCGUCCCCAGCGUCGAAGCCCCCGACCUCGGCUCCGGCCCCCUCCGUCCCCUCNUCCCACCCCCGCCCCCGGCGCCGCGCCCGGAGCCGCCCCGCCUUCCAACAUCGCCUCUCCGCCGUCGGAGGGAGGCAGCAGCGCCGCCUCCGUGCCCGCCGCAGCCGCAAGCUGGGCCACCGUCGUCGCGGUGAUCGCCGCCGCAGCCGCUUUCUAGAUCUACCUGAGAUAGUUUUAUUCUUUCAUUUAGGACUACUCUGUAGUAGCGAAUUGUUUGGAUUUGUUCUUUUUACACUAGUUUAUUCAUUACCAUUGUUUAUACUAUUAUUUUUUUGUUCCCCCUACCCCUUUUUGUGUAUUAGUGGUUUAUGAUUACUAUAGUUAUUCUUUAUUGGUAUUACUAUUGGCGUUAGAUUGUGGUCUCUUCGUAUUAUUAUUAUUUAUUAUUAUUCCGCGAAGUACCUGUGGUUUUGGUUUUGCUUUUUUGAUCACCAUUAGAUCAUCUGGAGAAGUUAAACAAGAACAUUUUAUUUCCCCUUUAAAAUUGGAUUAUGUGUAGCUCUGCAUUUUAUUCCUGUUUCAAUUAGGUUUGAAAAUUUAGAAUGAUAAGCAAAUUUUUUAUUUCUAUUUAUUUUUUAACCUCAAGUUUAAACUUGUUAUCUCGAUUUAUAAAUUAUGCUAAUUGUCAGUAUAGUUUUUAAUUAAAUUGAGAAAUUUCGAUUCUGCGUAGAACCUUCACAUUCGGGCUCAAAUCAGGCCCAAGUGUCCAGGUGUGUGAGGACAUGGGCUGUAGCCCAUGUAAGACAACGAGGGCCUGGCCUCGAAUUUUAUGCCCGGUCCGGGCUAUCGAAAUAAUUAAUAGAUAAAUAUUAAAAACGAAUAUGCCUACAAUAUGAUUAUCGCUUUUUUUUUUCUCUAAAUAAUAUCACAUAGCACAUUAUUACUUUAUUAUAAUGAAUAGAGUAAAUUAUAUUAUUCGGAGUCUUAUCGAAAUUGAAAAAUGUCUUGGAUGGAGAUAUCAGAUAUAUUAUUCGUUAUUCCAUCUGAAAACGAAAAGUAUAUCUCCAUAUAUUGAGCUUGUUUAAUAAUGUAUGAUUAAUAAUAUCCAACAGACCCUUAAAUUAUAAAUAAAUAGAGAGGCAAUCUUAAAUACACACAAUGCGUAAACAUAAAUGCAACGCCAAGUGAGACGACCAACCAAAACUCUAUUAGUUCAAUCACAUCACCAAAUCAAAAAAGAGCCCGUUAUAUUAUUAUUAUAUAAUUAAAAGAGAAUUGUAGUCCAUUUCCUCAUUCAAAAAUGUCUAAAAAACUACUACUUUUGUUUUAUUGUUAGUUAAAAAUUAAAAAAAGGUGACAAGGCUCGUUCAGAAAAAUUAGUAAUUGGAUUAGAGGGUUGUAGGAUUAUGAUUUUUUUUUUUUUUUUGUUUUCAUUUUGAGAAAGGAUUUCAAUACAAUUUCAAUUAUAAAUCUAGCAUUGCUGCUUCUUCUGUAUUAUCAUCACACUAUCUAAUCGGUUUAAACUAAAAAAAUGUAUUAGGAUACUCGGAUCAGAAAUAAUAUUUUACACUUAUUGACCAACAACUUUAUUAUUCUUCAUUUUCUAAGGCUAAGUUUUAGUUUGGUAUUAAGAAUCAUCUGGCGUUGUUAGAUAAAAUAAAGUUGAGGUAAAAAUACAUACGGAUGUAUUCUCCAGAGAAACGGUAUAAAAUAUAUCGUAAUCCACUUAUCGCGAUACGUGAAACACAAUAUUAUAUACGAAAAUAAACAAAAUAUUUUUUUCGUACUUUCUUGCCUCGCUUAACGCAAUUUCUCAGCAAUUUCAAAUAAAAUCUAAAACCGAUAACUAAUUAAAAAUUUGCUUAUAUUAAUAUUAAAUUAAAAGCGUACCUGAUUAAUUUGUUAGCUCUUCGUGGAUCGACGUCUAGAUUUUAACUUGUCAACUCCCGUCCGAGAGGGGAGACAGGACAGUUGACCCGACUCGCGUUGUUCUGAGCCGCUCCACGGGUCACGUCACACAAACGCUCCCUUAUAUAAUCACCUAACCCACCCCCUCCCCCCCAGAUGGGGCCGCGCCACCGUUCGAUUCCCGUCACCGCCAAUGGCGACGAAGGAGGGCCGUCCGAUCGCCACAAAGCUUCUUUUUCUAGCAGCGGUUGUUGUCGCCGCCCCGGGCGCGGAGGCGCAGGGGGGCUUCACGUCACCCCCGGCGUACGGGGGCGGCGGCGGCGGCGGCGGCGGGGGGUUUAGCGUGACCACGGCGCUCCUCUUCGUCGCCAUCAUCGUCGGCUUCUUCUUCCUCGGCUUCUUCUCCUUCUACAUCCGCCGGUGCGGCGGCGACCCCCUCGGCCCGGGCGGCGGCGGAGACCCUCCCGACGAUGCCGUACGCGGCGGCGCGGGCGAUGAUGAAGGCGUGGGGAGCGGGGGAGGGGAAGGGGGAGACCCUGGAGUGCGCGGUGUGCCUCAUGGAGUUCGGCGACGAGGGGGAGGCGCUCCGCCUCCUCCCCGGCUGCUGCCACGUCUUCCACCGCGACUGCAUCGACCCCUGGCUCGAGUCCCACGUCACCUGCCCCGUGUGCCGCGCCGAUCUCUCCGACCCCGGCGUCCUCGCCGCCGCCGCCGCCGUCGCCGCCGACGCGGCGGCGGCGCCGGAUCCGGCGGAGGUGGACGUCGAGAUGGGGAAUCAUCGCGCCCCGAUCGCGGCGCGAUCGGAGCACCAGAGAUCGCGCUCCGCGGCGGAGGAUCGGUUCACGCUCCGGCUCCCGGAGAACAUCGCCUCUCCGCCGUCGGAGGGAGGCAGCAGCGCCGCCUCCGUGCCCGCCGCCGCCGCAAGCUGGGCCACCGUCGUCGCGGUGAUCGCCGCCGCAGCCGCUUUCUAGAUCUACCUGAGAUAGUUUUAUUCUUUCAUUUAGGACUACUCUGUAGUAGCGAUUGUUUGGAUUUGUUCUUUUUACACUAGUUUAUUCAUUACCAUUGUUUAUACUAUUAUUUUUUUGUUCCCCCUACCCCUUUUUGUGUAUUAGUGGUUUAUGAUUACUACAGUGAUUCUUUAUUGGUAUUACUAUUGGCGUUAGAUUGUGGUCUCUUCGUAUUAUUAUUAUUUAUUAUUAUUCCGCGAAGUAGCUGUGGUUUUGGUUUUGCUUUUUUGAUCACCAUUAGAUCAUCUGGAGAAGUUAAACAAGAACAUUUUAUUUCCCCUUUAAAAUUGGAUUAUGUGUAGCUCUGCAUUUUAUUCCUUUCCUGUUUCAAUUAGGUUUGAAAAUUUAGAAUGAUAAUUUCAUUCUGAUGCAAAUUUUUUUUUUCUAUUUAUUUUUUAACCUCAAGUUUAAACUUGUUAUCUCGAUUUAUAAAUUAUGCUAAUUGUCAGUAUAGUUUUUAAUUAAAUUGAGAAAUUUCGAUUCUGCGUAGAACCUUCACAUUCGGGCUCAAAUCAGGCCCAAGUCUCCUCCAGGUGUGUGAGGACAUGGGCUGUAGUCCAUGUAAGACGAAACGACGAGGGCCUGGCCUCGAAUUUUAUGCCCGGUCCGGGUUAUUGAAAUAAUAUAAAUAUUAAAAACGAAUAUGCCUACAAUAUGAUUAUCGCUUCUUUUUUUCUCUAAAUAAUAUCACAUAGCACAUUAUUACUUUAUUAUAAUGAAUAGAGUAAAUUAUAUUAUUCGGAGUCUUAUCGAAAUUGAAAAAUGUCUUGGAUGGAGAUAUCAGAUAUAUUAUUCGUUAUUCCAUCUGAAAACGAAAAGUAUAUCUCCAUAUAUAUUUUUUCUAGUUGAGCUUGUUUAAUAAUGUAUGAUUAAUAAUAUCCAACAGACCCUUAAAUUAUAAAUAAAUAGAGAGGCAAUCAUAAAUACACACAACGCGUAAACAUGAAUGCAACGCCAAGUGAGACGACGACCAACCAAAACUCUAUUAGUUCAAUCACAUCACCAAAUCAAAAAAGAGCCCAUUAUAUUAUUAUUAUAUAAUUAAAAGAGAAUUGUAGUCCAUUUCCUCAUUCAAAAAUGUCUAAAAAACUACUACUUUUGUUUUAUUGUUAGUUAAAAAUUAAAAAAAGGUGACAAGGCUCGUUCAGAAAAAUUAGUAAUUGGAUUAGAGGGUUGUAGGAUUAUGACUCUUCUUCUUUUUUUUUGUUUUCAUUUUGAGAAAGGAUUUCAAUACAAUUUCAAUUAUAAAUCUAGCAUUGCUGCUUCUUCUGCAUUAUCAUCACACUAUCUAAUCGGUUUAAACUAAAAGAGUGUAUUAGGAUACUCGGAUCAGAAAUAAUAUUUUACACUUAUUGACCAACAACUUUAUUAUUCUUCAUUUUCUAAGGCUAAGGUUUAGUUUGGUAUUAAGAAUCAUCAGGCGUUGUUAGAUAAAAUAAAGUUGAGGUAAAAAUACAUACGGAUAUAUUUCUGUAUUUUUCAGAGGAACUGUAUAAAAUAUAUUGUAACCCACUCAUCGCAAUACGUGAAACAUAAUAUUAUAUACAAAAAUAAAUAAAAUAUUUUUUUCAUACUUUUUUGCUGCGCUUAACGCAAUUUCUCAGCAAUUUCAAAUAAAGUCUAAAACCGAUAACUAAUUAAAAAUUUGCUUAUAUUAAUAUUAAAUUAAAAGCGUACCUGAUUAAUUUGUUAGCUCUUCGUGGAUCGACGUCUAGAUUUUAACUUGUCAACUGCCCUCCGAGAGGGGAGACAGGACAGUUGACCCGACUCGCGUUGUUCUGAGCCGCUCCACGGGUCACGUCACACAAACGCUCCCUUAUAUAAUCACCUAACCCACCCCCUCCCCCCCCAGAUGGGGCCGCGCCACCGUUCGAUUCCCGUCACCGCCAAUGGCGACGAAGGAGGGCCGUCCGAUCGCCACAAAGCUUCUUUUUCUAGCAGCGGUUGUUGUCGCCGCCCCGGGCGCGGAGGCGCAGGGGGGCUUCACGUCACCCCCGGCGUACGGGGGCGGCGGCGGGGGGUUUAGCGUGACCACGGCGCUCCUCUUCGUCGCCAUCAUCGUCGGCUUCUUCUUCCUCGGCUUCUUCUCCUUCUACAUCCGCCGCUGGGUCGACCAGCGCACCGCCGCGGCGGAGGCCGAGGCGAGCGGCGGGGGCGGCGGAGGCGGAGGGGGAGGGGGAGGGGGCCGCGCGCGGCGGCGCGGGCUCGACCCUGCGGCGGUGGAGACGCUUCCGACGAUGCCGUACGCGGCGGCGCGGGCGAUGAUGAAGGCGUGGGGAGCGGGGGAGGGGAAGGGGGAGACCCUGGAGUGCGCGGUGUGCCUCAUGGAGUUCGGCGACGAGGGGGAGGCGCUCCGCCUCCUCCCCGGCUGCUGCCACGUCUUCCACCGCGAUUGCAUCGACCCCUGGCUCGAGUCCCACGUCACCUGCCCCGUGUGCCGCGCCGAUCUCUCCGACCCCGCCGUCCUCGCAGCCGCCGCCGCCGUCGCCGCCGACGCGGCGGCGGCGCCGGAUCCGGCGGAGGUGGACGUCGAGAUGGGGAAUCAUCGCGCCCCGAUCGCGGCGCGAUCGGAGCACCAGAGAUCGCGCUCCGCGGCGGAGGAUCGGUUCACGCUCCGGCUCCCGGAGCACGUGCGGAGGGAGAUCGCGCACCGGCGAGCGGCGAGCCUCUCCGGCUGCGGCGGCGGAGGAGCGCGGCGGAGCGUGAGCGUCGGCGUCGCCGGAGGGGGAGGAGGAGGAGGAGGAGGGUUUGGUACGACGCUGCUGAGGACGUUAUCGGGUAUUCGUUAUAAGAAGGAGAGCGAGGUGGGUGUGAUUCUCAAUUUCAUCGGAGCUCCGACAGGGGAGACGAGCGGAGGAGGCGGAGGCGGAUGCGUAAGCGAGAUUCGGGAUCCGAGAUCCGCUAGUAGCUCGUUCAAGUGUUACGCGCGGAGCAUCACUUUCGCGGGAUUCGUCCUGCAGGGUGACGUGGCAGCGCGUGAUUGGCGGCCCGAGCUGUUCCAGGUUUCGGGUUCCCUCCGAUCCGCAACUUCGCUUGCGCAGUAAAUCCGCCCGAAGUCGACUUCUGUUGUAAGUAAACUUUUUCUUUUUUAUUAUUAUUAUUAUAAUUAUAACUAUUGUUUUCAAUACACUUAUAUAUGCACCGUUGGAUCAUGAAGUAACGGUAUACAGAUUAUUUGUACAUGUCAUAAUGGAAUUGACCCGUUUGCGAUAACUUUAUUUUUGACUGUAAUAAAUUAAGAGUCGAUUGUUGCUAUAUAAUUUGUCUAUUGAUUAUUGUUUAGCAGCAGUUAUUUAUAGGCCAUUUCGGUUUUAAAACAAGAAAAAAAACUAAAAGGCCAUUUCAAAUUUGUUAAUUCUCGUCUUUUAAACCGCAAACAAUAACAGCAUAAUAACAUACAUGAAAUUCGGCUUUUUCGAACCAUCAAUUUGUAGGAAAAGCACUUCUACAAGAGAGAGAGAAUAGUAGAUAUAUUUCUCUCGAAGCACUUGAGGCUGUACAUGAUAUGUAAUAUCAAACUAUAAAGAUUCUCUCAAAGAGCGCUGCAUCGAGGAACCAUCUUCUUAUUUAGACACCGCCGAACUUUAUUUCUGCUCUGUAUGUACCAUCGCCACUCUUUGCCUUCUCUUCAAUCAGUUUGUUAAUCUUCUGAAAACCCAAAAAAGUAGAAAAGGAUUAGAAAGUUUACUCGAGUAACAAAGAAAACUAGUAUAGACUCCACACCUUUUUGUCAUCAGUGCGAAUCUCAAAACAAAGCUUCUGCUGCAUCUGCCUUUUCUGAUGCUUCCCAUCCAUUAUAACGAGCAAUGUGGCCGCAGCAAUUCCGAAAGAACAAAGCGCGCCGGCUCCCCUUAACACCCAACUCUGCGCUUUCGCAAAUGCGGAAGCGGUCGGUCUCAUCUCCUCCUCGACGCUGUUGUCCUCCGCGAAUGAUAAGCUCUCGGAUGAAUCACAUUCAUCGGAAUCACCAGAGUAGACGGCAUCUUCGUCCUUUUGCUCGAAGACUACGUCGAAUAUAACGUCGCCGCCCGCAAUGGCAAUCGGUGGCUCGAUCUUUUCCUCGACGAUCUCUUCUGUCGUGUCAGUUUGAGUCGAUUCGUGCGGGGUGAAGUAGUUGGGCUCGAACAACCCGGUGGGGUUGAAGUACGACUCGCGGGGGAGGUUGUCGGGGAGCAGCUCCCAAUCCUCCAUUGCUAUCUUAGUGGAUGUGAAGGGAAGGAUGAGGUUGUGACAUAUAUAUAUAAUGAAGUGGAAUGGAAAAGAUGGUUUGUUCCUUGAAGGGACUUUGAUAGUUCUAGGAAGGUUGAAGUUCCAAUUGAGGUGUUUGUUUUGGUUGAUAAGAGAGACACAGAAAUUAUGAGGGGGGAGUGUGCAGUGUAAGUUCAUUUGUCUAAGUAAGACAAAUUGAGGAACAAUUAUAGGCUUUAUGAUUAGCAGGAAAGGUGCCAUUUGAGACUCCAGGAAAUGAAGUUUCUCUCAGUGUAUGUGUCACCAUGUGGUUCCCUGUCGGUGCCUGCUCCUCCAGUGAAAAUCCGGAAGCCACAUUUUGAUACUUUCUAACUUCUGCUUCUACUUUCAGCUACUAUAGCGCACGAUAAGCUGGAAAAUCAAAAACUUAUGUUGUUGGAAGCUAACUAAGAUUUUACACCACAGACAAAAGCUCUAAUUUAAAGCUUUGCUUUGUGAUUUAUUAAAAAAGUUGUUAGUGCUUCUUUUAGCAGCGCUAUCCGACCGCAUGUCGUGAAACAGGGUAGUGCAUUUUGAUUCUUACUAAAAUAGAGCCUAUGAAACUGGCAGUAGUAAAUCUGUACAAUGAGCCAUGCACUCCCUUUAUUUUCCUUAUGCAACAGUCCAAAAUCCCAAUGCUAAAGCAAUGGCUCGCAUCAGAAUUGUACCAAAGCAUUUCCAGGAAAUUGUAGGAAAUUGUAAUACAUGCAUAAUGGAUCCAAACAAAAUCUACCGAACAGUUACAAACACUAUUUUGUAAUUUACACCAGUGGUAAGUGCUAAUAAUUAGUGCUAGAAUGGUUUAUUUACACCAGUUGAAGAAUAUAAGCACUUCAUACCAAGUUUUUCCGUUGUUGGAGGAUAUAAGCGCUUUUAUGAACCGAAUAAUUCGUUUGUAAUCUUUUGCCAAUAAAAUUUCACCAUUUGUUACUGCUAAUUGUUAGUUACACCCACAUUCUUAGUUGCAAUUUACAACAACAAAAGAUUCGUGCAUUCUUCUAUAACCUGUCUCACCUACUCUACCUCAUAGAACAACUACAUAUGUUCAUGUGAACUUUCGCAGCAGUUCACGAGAUAUACUACAUGCAGCUUUUAACUAUGUUCUAACUUUCUCAUGUUUGCAGUAAUUUCUAUAACCUAGAGGCUUUAGCCCAUUAUAUUCAACUCUGCAUCAUAUUUUGGCUUGAUAAUUCUGGUUAAAAUUCCAUUCCAUGAUCAGCAGAUUCCCCAGUUUCUUCAUCACCAAAUGGUAUUCUGGUUAAAAUUCCAGUCCAUGGUCUGAAGAUUCCCCAGUUUCUUCAGCGCCAAAUUGUACCUGACAAUAAACAGAAACAAGAAUUUCAGAUUUAACGAUAAACAAUAAUGCAGGGAAAAUAUUGUUAAUGGGGCUUUAUAGAAGCUCGAAUUUGUCAACUGAACCGACCUACAAUUUCAUGUUAAGAUACCAUAAGGGAUCAUCCGCUUUUGUCUCGCCCCAGUGAAGUGUCAUCGACUUCACAGAUUGAGGGAACAAUGGAUUGCAGAAACAAAAAAUGAAGAAUAAAUGAAAGUAUGUUUUGUAAAAUUGGAAAGGCUAUAAUCUAACAGAAGGUAUGUUCUCGCAAUGAUGGAUAGGCAAGUUAACAGAAAAAGGAAAAUAGCCAUGAUUUAUUAGCCUAAUACCAAGGUAUGGCAUUAAAUUGCUUGUUUAACGUGAUUUGGUUUCAGCAGAAACAAAGUGAAGUAAAGCAUCCACACUUGUCUGAUACUUCUUGCCACCGCGAUCAAAAUAGAAAGGAAAGGGGACCCUUACUGUUGAUGCCCUGUGAGUUGUCCUUCGAAAUGAAAUUUUAAAAAGAAUGUAAUAACAGAGAUUGAUUCGACAUGAACGUAUUACAUACACAUCCAAAUGUUUACCUGCCUAAUUAUUUCUUACUGCACAAUCAACUAAAUGUACCGAAAAAUUCAUAAAAGAGUUCAUGAAACUGCUCACAUUCUUCCAUUUCUUGUGUAAAAUAUAGUCUAACUGAGUUUGAAACAACAACUAUACAAGUGAAAGAACAAGGUUUUGGAACUCACAAAAAAUCAAUUAAGUUGAACCCUCUCAAGCUGCUUCUAGCUGGAGUGUGGGGCAAGACUGAUUAAGCCUUUCCAAUAGCUCAUGAGAUGAGAAGCCUUUUCCUUCCGAAACCUCUUUUCGGAAAUCUGGUAAAUACUCCAAUAAUCUUUUGCCUUCGCCAUCAUUGCUGAGAGAAUUCAAAAUAGUCGAAAUAACCUUUGCAUCAAGAGCCACAUCCUUCGCUGCCAUUUCACGGAGCAAGCUAACUAUCUCUUCAGUUUCGCCCUUCUGACUAUAGGCACGAAUGAGUGAGUCGUAAACAACAACAUCUGGCGAAAACCCACAAGCAAUCAUCUGUUUAAUUAAUCUCCUGGCCUCUACCAAAUACCCGGAUCUUGCAAACGCAUUCACUAGCAUUGAAUAAAUAAUAUUAUCAGGCUUUAUUCCCCUUUGAAGCAUUUCUUCAAGAAGUUCUUUUGCACCAUCAAGGUCCCCACUUUUGCAGGCUCCACUGAUUAGAGCGCUAAAUGAGACAACGUCAGGAUCGCAUUUCUUUUUCAUUUCAUUGAACAAACUCCUUGCCCUCUUCAUCAUAUUCUCUUCGCACAACGCUGAAAUUAUUGGGUUAUAAUCAAAUAAACUUGGGGUGCUUCCUCGACCCCUCAUUUCAUUCAAAAGCCUUUCCGCGGCAUCGACAUGCCUCAUCUUGCAAAACCCAUUUAUCAUUAUACUAUAUGUAAAAGAAUUUGGCUCCAACCCUGAACAAAUCAUCUCGUUCUUUAACUGAAUAGCCUGUUUUGUUUCAUGUUUUCUGAAGAGCCCACCAAUCAGUAAAUUAUAAGUCGUCAAAUUACUAUGGCAACCUCUCUCCGGCAUCAACUUAUGGAGAUCUAAUGCUUGUCUAAUGCGACCGCUCUUGCAUAAACCAUGUAUAAGAGAAUUAUAAGUCAUUACAUCUGGCUCAACUCUACACUUCCCUUCAACCAUUACAUCGAACAAUUUCAGUGCGUCAUCAACCUUCAUCAAAUCACAUAGACCCACAAUUAAGGUGUUAUAAGUAAUAACAUCCGGUGCUAUUCUCUUCUCAAUCAUCUUCUCCAUGAGUUCAAAAGCAUCCUCAAUUAAACCUUCUUUACAUAACUGAUUGAUCAACACAUUAUACGUCACAGUGCUCGGCUCCUCACCCCUCUCCACCAUCAGCCCUAACAACCUCGUUGCCUCUUUUACCUUCCCCUCUUUACAAAGCCCAUCUAUUAAGCCCGUGUAUGUAACCACAUCCGGACGAACUCCCCGCUCCGCCAUGCAAUUCAACAUCUGCGUGACCUCUCCCCACCUUCCAUUUUUGGAAAGGCCAUGAAUCAAGCUGCUGUAAGUGACCACAUUCGGCGAGAUCUCUCUCUGCGACAUUUCGUCGAACACCUCCGCAGCCCUAUCCACAAGACCCACGUCGCAUAAUCCGCUGAUGAGUGCGGUAUAUACAACAACAUCGGCAUCAAGGCCUUCACCUUUGAGCUCAUCCAACAAGGCCACGGCUUCUUCUACUCUCCUACUCUUACAAAGACCGUCGAUUAGGGUCGUGUAGGUCACUAGAUUAGGGCGGAGACCCCCACGGCCUCUCCUUUGGCCCAUUUCCUUCCACAAUUCAAUCGCCUCCUCCAUCCUCUUCUCUUUGCAGAGCCCAUUGAUGAGAGUGUUGCACGUAACAACGUCGCGAGGGAUCCAAUCGGAGCCCAUCGCACGGAACAGCUCCUUGGCGUCGGAGACGCGGCGGGAUACGCAGAGGCCCUUGAGGAGGAGGUUGAGGAGGCGGGUGGUAACGGGGUAUCCGCGCUUGUAGAGCAAGCCGAGGGCGGCGAACGCGGAUUUAGGGUUUCGGGCGUGGGCGAAGGAGACGAUGAGGGAGGUGAGAGCGGGGAGAGUGGGGGCGAUCCCCGAUUGCGCCAUCGCUUUGUAGGAGGAGAGGAAGGAGCGGUGGUCGCCGGAUACGUAGAGGCCGCGGAGGCGCGAGCUCCAUGAAGCUGCGGAGGAGGAGGAGGGAGAAGAGAAGAGAGUGGCUAAGAAGAAGGGUUUUGGUGGCUUCCUCAUCUCCAACAACGGCGAGGCGUUUUUUUGGGGGCGUACCAUCGGAAGGCUUAAAACGAGGAGGGAAACGCUCGUGCAAACUACCGAGCCCGACAAGCUAAUGCACACGCCAACGCACGUGUCAGUGAUCGUUAUCAAUUGGGUGAUUCCACGUGUCCCGGCUCUCGAUUAAUUACACACAAAUAAUAAUUUAGGUGAUAAUCACAUAAAUUUUUAGCAACAUUUUAGUCGAGUAACAAGUAAUAACCUAGUGCUUGAUUCUAACGACAUUUUGCAAUAUGACUUUGGUUGGUGGAAGAAGAGGAGACACAACUACAUCCACUGUAUAACUAAUUAAAAAGGAUAAUCAGGCAAAACAAAUCCAACAUCUUCAGCUGCUCGUAAGCCUCAAACAGCCGCUUAUUGGUAGUAAAAUAUACAAAGAAAAAGUUGUUUCUAUACAAGUUUGUACAAAGGAUUCGGCGGUGUAAACUAUUCUUCUAGGACAUAAAAUAGCCGACAAGCAUAUAGUUGCAUGCACUCAACAACCGGGGCCUCGCAAUCACAAUGUCGUUACUGCAGACUUAGGUAGAAAUAAAAAAAACGCCAUCUAAGGCAAACCGCGUAACCAGAUUGGCAGAUACGAUAAUCAGCCAAGCCAUUUCAGCAGAGAAAAUUUUCACCAUCUUGUAAAAUUUGAGACGGUCAAAGAUGUUAACCUUCAAAAUCCUGCUUCAGAGAGAGAGAGGGGGAGAGAGAAAGGCACGCAGCAUUUGUGAAAAUAGCAACUCUAGAAAAACAACACUUUUAUCCAUCUGUUACGGCUGUGAAUUCGUUAAGUUCCGUGCAUUUAAAAAUAGAUAACGAAUCACUGGUCCUGCAUAAAGUCAAAAUCCGCGGCUAUCAGGCAAGAAAAACUUAAAUAGGCGAGGUAACGCAAGUGUAUUGAAUGACUACCUGAUCAGGCAGCACGAAAGACAUCAGCUCUGGGCACACUCAAAAGGAUGUAGGGUUCCUUCAGCGAACUCAUGCAUCCUGAAUCUCUCCAAGAAGUCCAAAGGUCUGCAUGCAACAAAGCCAAAAAGCCACCUCAUCAUAAACAAAUAUUCAAGAUGGGAAAAUGGACCACAAUAUGAUGAAAUAAUGAACAGAACUAAAUCCAUUUGAUAUGGAUAUACACAGAUUGGAAUUUCUCAAAGUUGGAGUGAUAACAACUCCGUCAAACCAUUUAGACCUAACUGUUGUGGUUCAGUUAUAUCGACCAUAUAUUCAUAUUCCUUUAACCAGUUCUAUUUAUUUCAUGCUCUUCCUCACUAUUUCUCCCUGAUCAUGUUUGUUCCAAUCCUCUCUUUUGAAGCAUCGACCUGAAACCAUUUAUGUAUUCUGAAUGUAGCAUUCUGUCCCUGCUACGCAUGAUUAUACAAUCACAACACAUUUCCACACACUACUCUAGUAUUCAACAUCAAAGUUGUGUUGGAUGAGUUAUUCUUACGCUAUUUACUAUCAAUCUUGUACCUUAACAUGCAGAUCCCGACUAGACCAAGUUACUGGACGUAUGUUCUUAAAAUCUCAAUCUGGCCAGUAAAAGUGACUGUUUAAGCAGUUGCCCUAAAAUUUUUCAUUCCAGCAAAAUGUCGCACAUAUUCGGAAGUCCUUAAGUGAAAACCUUCCUCACAAUAAUGCCCCAUUCUGCAUGAAGUGUAUAAUGUCAAUAGUAUAAUCAGAUAAAUAGGCUUUUCUACUGAAGUCUAGUAAUCUUACAGCACAGCUUCACGAUAGCGGCACAGCUUGCGUUGAUUGUUUUCUAUGGCACUCAGUACAUCAGCAGUUUCUGGUCCUGCAGCUCCUCCAGCAACCAUCGAUGAAACUUGAGCGUGUGGUGUCCACAUCUAGAUAUAAUACCGUCAGAAUUCAAAUUCUGAAGCGUAAAAGGAAAAGACUAACAGAAGUAUUCUUCAUCAAGCAUACCUUAAUUGUAUUAUCAAUUCCGCUAGUUGCAAUAGCACAAUCAAAUGGAUGACAUUGUAUACAGUUCACAACUAUAGAAGAAACUUAUUAGUCAUAAAAGAUAAAAGAAAGAAAACGAGGAAUCAUCGAAGAAUAUAUGAUCCAUUACCAGCCUCAUCUCCUGCAAGCAUUUUUAUCAAUCGCCCUGUUCUUUUCUCCCAAAUGAACCAUCUCCCAUCAUCACUUCCGCUAGCAACAAAUUCUCCUGCAAAAGUUUCUUACAAAGUAAGACCAUGGUAAUAUAAUAUGCUUAUAAUGGCUACUUAUAUCCAAGGAUUUAAGUGCCGUGGUACGGGGUUCUGUUGGAAACUUGCUGGCACGGUACGGCACAGUGCGUGCCGAGCCGUGCCGGUCACAAAAAAUAUAUGUGUGCCAACACGUAAUGGCAUGAAAUAUUUAUUUUCUUUAGCAACAAAUUAUGCUAAUUAUUUAUUAUAUAUUUUUAUCAAAUAUUUUGAACUUUAUUGAGAAAAUUACUUGCUAAUUUUAAAAAUAGAGAGUUUUGAAUUGUGCCAUUGGCACGGGGACUGUAUCGUGCCGACAUCUUGCUGGUACGAUACAACACGGUGGAUACGGCUCGUGCCGAUGGACACUUUAAUCCUUGCUUAUAUCUGUUUCUCACAUAUUAGUAUGACCAUCAAUCAGUUAACAGUGUGAUCUAAGCAGGCCAUGAAUCAAACUAUAGAUUUAAUAAAUCAGUAGCAAAGGUAACACUUAAGAAAUUCGAUGAGGUGUAUCUUACCAGUUCUCGCCUCUAAAUAGUUUUCCCCAUUCAGUCAAAGGAAAAUAAUAAGACGGACAAAUCAAUCAGGUAAGAAAUCAAUUUCUUAAGGUAAUUAAAGUAUUUAAACUAUUUAAUGAAACGAUCAUGAGUAAUACAGGUAGAUAUACGAAUUGAAACCAAUCAUAAAUGAAACUGAAUUUAGAGCAGGGCUAAAAUGCAAUAAUCAAUAUACAUCAUUGUUACGUAUGAAGACGUUUUAUAAAAUGAGCCCUAAAAUGUUGUAAAAAGAUGAGUGGCAUUGGUUGCACUAAUGAGGCAUGUCUCUUCUUUUGUUCGUUGUUCAGAAUUUAGUGCUUAUAGAACUCCCAAAGAGGACUUGCCAUUUAACAAAAUAUGUGCUCAAUUACAUAUAUAAAUAGUCAACAACAGCAAAACAACACUGAAGAUGAACGGGGCAAUCGAAAAUGACUUAAAAGUAAUCAUUGGCUACACCAGACAAUCACUUAUUACAUUGACCACCACUAGAUGCUAAAAAGGACUAGAACAAAUGAAAUUUUGUAUGAAAAAACGGGACAAGAUAAAUGCUCUAUAUUAUUGUUUCAGAAGAAGUUCGUGAAACCAUCAGUUCCAAAGUUACUAACAAGUCUGUUGAAGUAAAAGCAGAGAGAGAGAGAGAUUCUACCUCGCUGGCCAAGAAAGCUAGCUUGUUUUAUAUCUGUCCCCACAUUGCAGUGUCCAACGUACCUUUGUUUCAUAUCUAUUGCAACAUCAGCCUGCAUCAUACAGAAAAAAUAAAACAGAAUAUAAGAUAUGAAAAUGGAAUACAUGCAUUUGAAAAGAACCAAAAAGAAGAAAUAAAUAAAUUAUCAGUAAAUGCAUUCCUUAAAUAUUUGGUGAAUAGGAAUAGAUACUGCACCUAAUUAUGAAGGUAAUAUAAACAAACGACAAAGUGAUAUUAUCAUUUAUUUGUUAGGUUACAAGUUGUAUUGAGUAGGCCACAAUGGAUUAAGUCUCACAAGUACUUUUUGAAAUUAUACAAUCUCUAGUUUAGAAUGCUGUGUACGCACAUAUAUGACAACAACUAUACGUGCAUCAGACAGAGUGUGAACUCUCAUUUUCUCUGAUUCCGUAACGAUCACAGACAUUCAGAAGUAUGAUGCAUUCGAGAAAGAAAGAAAACCUUAUAAGCAGAAUUUUCACAUUCAGAGGUUGAUGGCAUAUCACUUUUCGAACCAUUCACACCGCAGUGCUCUUUAGUUGAGUCAUCCCUGCGAUGAAAUUUCAGAUUUAAGCUUCCUCGAACGAUCCUUGAUUCAUUAUUACCACGAUCCUCAUCACCAGAUAUUGAUGUUUCAAAAUCCAACUCCAUUUCAUCCUCAUAAUCAGAAUCUUCUCUGUCAUCUCUACCCUCUUGGGGGCCACCAACAUCUGGCCUAAAGAGUAUAUCGCUCAAGGAUCUUAACCUCCCAUGAUGUAAUUCACUUCUGGUAGACCCUUCAUUAUCCUUUCUGUUUCUCUCAGCUUCCGCUGUACCAAAAAUGACAUGGAAAAUUCAGAUGAGGUAUAUAUAUGCAAUAUUGAUAAUAACACGAUUUGGUAGAAUGCAAUAACACGCCCAAGCAAUGCCCACCCCCCCGUGCCCCCUGCCCCAAAAAAAGAAAGAAAAACAACAACAUAUACAGAAUAGAAAAUGCCAUAGAAUGUUAGUAGCCUGAAACACAUUAAUAACCAUGUGCACCAUGUGCCUCCUCAACCUAAGUAAAUAGUCGUACAACUUUAUAAGUGGGCGGAGGAUUAUAUAUUGAAUAAUUCCAAAAAAAAAAAAAAAAAAAAAACCUGCAGCAAGACGCUCUUUUAAACUCUCCACUUCUUCCGCAGCCUUAUAGUUGGGAGUUAAAUUAUGUGCUGCCUCUGCAAAAUCAGACGCUUCUUUGUGUCUUCCCAGCUGCACAAGAAUGCAAAAAAAAAACAAUAAAAAACUACCCCACUAAAGGGGACAAAAUAUAAAUAUCCACUACAAUAAGGUUAGAUCUUUGUUGCAAGAUAUAACAAUAAAAAAUAUUCAAAAGAGCUAUUAGCAUUGGCAGCAGGAAAAAAGAUUGGAAAGUUGACAGAAAAUAGCAUCUGGUCAUUGAUUGCAGUUAGAAAAUAUCAACAGGCUUUUACUCUUGUGUGUUAUAAAGAGGAGUUCAAGCAAUAACCCAGAGAAAUAGAGAAGAUAUGGAGAGCUGGAAGAUAACAGCAUUCACCAAAUACUGCAUACUAAUGUGUAUUAGUAAGCGACGAAGGUUUUAUGUAGUUUCAAGAGAGUUCACUCGCGUAAGGAAACGACAAAAUUACUAUUUCUCCGACACAGAAUUGUGAUGGAUAAAUAGUUGAAAAGCCAAAACUUACGCUUAGAUAGAACUAAGAGACAAACAACAAAUCAAACAUCACGAAUGUACAAUUUAAUUGCAAACAUGCUUAGAUCUUCAGAUGUAUAAAUAUAUAUUGUCAACUGGUUCAGCCUAUUCAAUACAAUUGCUUCUCAGAGGAAAACUUCAACAUUUCAUGCCUACCUACAAAGUUCAAAAAUAGUAAAAAGCAAAUAUUAUCCGAUAGUGGCAAAGCAUCUUAAAGUAGCCAACAACUAAGGUAAAUCCUAAGGAACUACUCUACCAGAAUCACUAUAAUAGUAUUGUCAUCAUUGUCCCUGUUAUUUGCUUAUAGCAAACAAAAAACAAGCCAAGCCACCAGACAAAUAUUACUUGGAUGAUAUGCAUGAAAAUGCACCUGCAAGAGUGCUUCAGCCAUGUACAAGUGUGCCCUGAAUGAUGAAGUAUCAAUACUCCGAGCUCUGAGGCAAUCCCGGACAGCCAUGUGAGCAUCAUUUUUCCAUUUCCUCUGCGAUCAAUAUACCAAACUCAUAAUUCCUGAUAAUUUUUUGCUAAAAAUUCAGAAAAAAUCAAGUAUGUUGAGACCUUGAGAAACAGUGCUGCUCGAAUACACAAACACUCAUGCCUUAGAGCAUCGCUGAUGUAAGAACCCCUUCCAUCCAGUACUUCAUUGCAUGCUUCAAUGCCAUAUAAUAAAUCCGAACCCACCUCCAAAGUCCUCGCUGCAAUUUGGACCAAUUUCUUGCACAUUUCAAACUACAAUCAAGCAUAAAAUCAGGCACAAUAUUCGGCAACAAUUGCAGACAGUGGGACUGAUAAUAAAUUUAAUUCUACGUCGAGCUUCCCCACCCUGUGCGAAUUACAUCUUCCAGGAGGUAUCUUCACUGAGGAUGCUGUUGAUAAUUGGGAAUGGAUUUCUGGUUCCUGAGGCAAAGGUGCUAAAUAUAACUGCUUGGAAAUAUCGUCAGCCGUGUAUCUCAAACUGCUCUGAUCAUCUGAAUAUCAGGAGAGAGUACAAAUUCAUAGAUGAAUUUUAGGAAGAGAGGCCAAAAAAAUGUGCAGCAAGCAAAAAAUAUAUCAAGCAGAUGUACAAAUUUUACACUCGAGAUGACGAAGUUAAAGCAAGCAUAGCUAAUUAGAGUACGAAGCAUACCAUUGAUAACAUCCAUGAGAUAUACGUGUUCACCACUAUAGCUCAAGAGAACCUCUUCUCCAUUCGGGCUGAAGGUAACAUGUGUUAGGUGCAAGUUUGAUUUUCUCUGGAAGCAAGAAUAAUAGAUACUUGAGAAAAAAGGUUAUGGAUCACAUCAAUCAACAAAAGAAGGAUAGACUCAUGAGAUGCACUCUAACUUGUGUCAACAUAACAAAUAAAAUAGAAACAUCUCCAUAAGUAUAGGCCACAUAACAAGACGUAUGCAAACAACUCUGAAACAUACCCGCUCAGAAAGAUGUGUUGGACAAAAAUAAUUAACACAAGGAGGGGCCUUCAGUUUCAGCUCAGAAGAGCUCAAUGGCGGAAGCAUUCUUCGAUCAUACAGCCGAGCAAAUGCAUCACUGGGUAAUCACCAAGAAAUGAGUAAUUAUUAUCAGCAGUUCUUAGUGAUAGCUAAUACAGGGCAAAAAUGAAUGAAUCUAAAGAUAUUACCUUCCUCCAACAAGAAGUUGAUGUGGACGAGUAGAACUGAUGUCACAAGACUUCAGUAACAAGCACUGCUUCGGAGGAUCAGCUAAAGACUUCUUCGCACCACUACGAAGAUCGAGCUGCACAUUAUGCAUAAUAUUUAGAUAGAGAGUUAGAUGCAGGCAAAAUGUACAGAUAAUACCUGAACUUCAGAGCAUUUUGAAAUGGUUCAUGAACUUUAAUAGUUUGGAUGUCAAUACCUAACCUUCCAUUAAAUUUGAUUUCACUACCCCGGCCCCUUUCUCCUGGCAAUCAGAUCCCCGAAAGUUUUAACAUUUUCCAUCAAAACAUUGCAGAAUAUUCCGUCAAACAACACAAUAUUCCACCAUGCUACAGAAUAGAAAAGUUACAAACACUGGAGAGGAUGUAAAAUCAAAGCUAAUGAAAGAUUAGGUACUGAUAUCAAACAUUCACAAUAGAAGCAACAAAAUACAUGGAUAUCCUCGACCAUCACAAUAUACACAUAUUACAGGAACAGAAGCACUAGAUACACUAAAUUUGCCUAUAUAAGGACUAGAGGAGAAUAAGAGUUGUUGGCUCAAAAUAUACGAUGCCUUAGCCCUUAGGGCAUUUGAAAAUGAGAGCAUUGCCGACCAAUUGUCCAAGUUAUAGGAAAGAAAGAAAGAAAGAACCAGAUAAUCCAAAAGGAGAUAAAGAAAAGAAACAAAAAGGAGAAAAAAAAAAUUAUGACUGGACACACCAAGUCAUUAAGUCCUAAGAUAGGAGCUACUUACAAGAACAUUACGACAUUCUUGAUUAGAGGAUCCAGCUGGAGGACAGGAAGAACUUUCACGGAAAUCAUGUUGUCUCAAAGUUCCAUCCUCACUUGCACUCCAAACUACAUUAGGGUUUCCGGUUUCAACCUGGACACAAAAGGCAGUACAACUUUGUUACCAUCAGCAGCAUAUAUCCAGUGUCAUGCCCCACCGCCUACCCUUAGUAGGUGGAGGAAGCCCCACAUGGGCGCGUGCACCAGACCCGCCGAACGAACAGAAUUUUUCCUGUCCGCCCAAGGCGUCACAAUCAGUACAAUUCAAAACAUUCCAAACAGGAAUAGAAUUCAUACACAAAUUGUAUAAAGAAGGCAUCGUAACAUAAAUAACUACACUAUUACAACAUUCAUCUCUUUCAUUUUUACAUUUACAUUCUUCCAAAUACAAUCAAAUUUAGUCUGUCACGCCCCACCGCCUACCCUUAGUAGGUGGAGGGAGCCCCACAUCCAGAGUAUUGGUUAACUUCCAGAGUUAACCAAAGAAAGUUCAAUAAAAUUGGACAUACAACUAGAAAAUUAAAUAAGAAGAACUUAGCAAGAUUAUAUUAACCUAGGAAGAAAACAUACUAGACUCCAAUGCCGAACACUUCCAAUAUUCCACAGCCAGCUAAUAGAACAUAAUAGAUAGCUAAUUCAAAGCACUUACAGCUAGCUUUUUGACCCUUCUUCUGUGGCACCGGUAUACAGCUGCUGGUUCUGGAGUAAUAUCUCGGGAUCUUCUCAUACCUAAGCGAGACAAAUUGAACACACGAACCUAGAAAAAGUAAUAAUCAGAGCUCCAGUCAGCAGUCUUAACAAAAAACAAAGAAAAUGUUAUCUGCGAAAUAUUACCUCUGUAUCUCCUGCUCCUGACACAACAAGUUCAUCAUUUGUCUCUGGAACAAAUUUUGUGCAGAAUAUGUUGGUAGAGUGCCCAGUCUCAAUACUAUGCAAAAGCCCUGGAUUGGAGUAACUCCAUAUAUUGAUCUGCAUAAGUGUAUUGGACAAAAAGAGAAUGUACAAAACUAUGCCAUCAAGCUUCCUUUCGACUUCAGAAUUUCAUGCAGCAGCAUUAAUCAUUCUAGCAAAUAAGAUAAAUGAUAAAACAAACAUACAUUCAACCAUAUAGUUUCCAUUAGCACCGCUGCUGUGCCAAUCCUUCAAAGUCUAAUAUUUUGGUGAUACAUUUGAUUGUCAGAUGUAUGUAACAAACUACCAAAUCAGCAGAUUCAUUGUGCAGUUGGUGAAUUCACUGAACAACCCAACUAACAAUUCCCAAUUAGGGGAAAAUGGAGCGUAAGUAACUGCAAGUGCCCAGAUGGCCAAAAAAAGAAAGGAAAUACUUCUAAAUGUGUCCGCUUUGAUGCAAUGAACAAUCUCUGUUAGACAGCGUUGAGAUAACGUGACGUAUCAGGCGAUUAUCAGUAUUCAAAAUAUACCUGAUACAACACGACAGCUAAAGUGAAUUAUCUGUUCAUCAUUGCACACAGCUCUCUAGGUUAUUUAUUUCAAGGAUUUAAGUGCCGUGCCAGAAACUUGCCGGCAAGGUACAGCAUGAUGCGUGUCGGCCGUACUGAUACAUGCCGGUCACAAAAAAUUCAUGUAUGCCGACAGAUAAUAGUAUGAAAUAUUUACUUUCUUUAGCAACAAAAUAUUCUAACUAUUUAUUAUGUAUUUUUAUCAAAUCUUUUGAACUUUGUUUAGAAAAUUACUUACUAAUUUAAAGAAUAGAGGGUUUUAAGAUAUGCUAUCGGCACGGGAGCUGUAUCGUGCCGAUAUCUUGUUGGCAUGAUACGGCACAGUAGAUACUGCUCGUGCCGAUAGGCACUUAAAUCCUUGAUUUCUUUUAGCCGUUACAAGGUUACAAGAGAAUACAAUUAGAAGUUAUAUAUCAUGUGCUCCCAACAAGGAUUGCAGAAAAACCAUCUAGUAGCUAACAAAGAAUGACAUAAAGACACAUAAUAUCUGAUUCAUUCCAAAGAUAAGCUCAAGUUACAUACUCUUGUAUCAUCAGAUCCUGAUAUAAGUAGGGAGCCUUUUGAGUUCCACGCGAUAGCGUUAACACAACCCAGAUGCCCCUGCCACAAAAAUCAACAAAAGUCAACUUAAUAGGCCACCAGUAUCACUACAGCAACAUAUGCAAUAACAUGGUUGCAAUUUCCAAGUUUCAACCGAAGUUUAUGAGCUAUAACAGUCACUAUAUACACAAGCAGAAAUCAGGAAGAACUAUGCUUUACAAGCAACCUUCAGUAAAAAAGAAAAAAAAAAAGUUUUAAGCAAUUAGAAAACUAUCAAUUCUCAAAGCAAAAGCAUAAUAAAUGGAACUAAAAUUCAUGUAGCAAAGGAUUACCUCCAUCUCCUUCUCCAAAGCAAGCCUCUUCAUCAACGAGGAGUGCGAUUGCAAGCUGCGAUCCACAUCCUACGAGAAAUAGUUUGGAACAACCACUUAAUACCCAAACCGGCAUAAAUAAAUGAAUAAAUAAAAUCGCACUAAAUCACAAGCUCUAUGUCUCAAUCCACAAGCAGCAUGGACCAAAUAGGAGACUAAAAAAAGUAAGAGCCAGUACCCAAGAGAAAUCGAUGCGGCGACUCUCCACGAGAUCGGCGACGUUGCCAUCGGGGAAGUUCCAAUUCCACUUCUCCAUGGCGUGGGGUGGGCGGGAAGCGAGGGGCGAGAGAAACCCUAACCCUAGCUGUUGAUUGAGGGUGGAGAGAGAGAAGAGGCGAAGGGGGUUUGGGAGGGCUCUCUCUCUCUCUCUCUCUCUCUCUCUCUCUCUCCCCUCCUCCCCUGUAUGGAGAUGCCACUCCGCUUUUGUUCGCACCGAUCGACCCAGGUUCUCGUGUGCGGAAUUUUUCACACACCUUCGUGUAGGUGCACGAACGAAGCGGGUUUGGCACGUGUGGCGUGGGGGGUCGUGACACUCGUGCGAGAGCAGGGGUAGAAACAGAAAUUCACCCCUGAGGCGGUUGAGACAAAAAGUGGGCCGGGUUCGGGUUAGGCCACAUCGAGAGGCGGCCUAUAAUCCUAAUUAGUUAACAGGCCUUGGGCCGGGUUAGUUUGCGGGCCCAGUCCAAAUAUAAGCACGUUAUUUGGUCCAGGACCCAUAGAAAUUGACGCGCCAUGGGUUGCGUUACAGUAAUUAAAAAUGCAAUCCGGCCCAAAUGUGGGGUGGAUCGAUGCUCGGUAGGCCCAUUGUUAGGGCUUGUUUGGUCUCACCGGCUUUAUCAAUAGAUGCUCUUUUUUUUUUUACUUUUCUUUUUUUCCUUUUUUUUUUUUCUCUCAAAAAUUGAAAUAGAGAACAUANGGGUUCGGGUUAGGCCACAUCGAGAGGCGGCCUAUAAUCCUAAUUAGUUAACAGGCCUUGGGCCGGGUUAGUUUGCGGGCCCAGUCCAAAUAUAAACUGUUUUGCCGCGCGGUUGCAAAAGUCACGCGCCUCUUUAGACGGUGUGGCUUUUGCAUGCAUACGUAUUUGAGAAAACUCUUACUAAGUAGAUACACGCAGCACAAAUUGUCUAUUCGCAGUGUGCUUCGCAAAUAUAGAAAACUUCAUAGAGAUAACUAAACAAAUUACAUCAAUUCAAUGCAAGGUUUGACACUCUUUCGUUGAUGCUGUGACGGACAUUCCUAGACUAUUUCUUAUCAAACUAUCCCCAAUGAAGAUACACAUAAUUUCUUCUUAGACGGACAUAAUUUCUUCUUUUUUAUCAAAUCGGUCAUAAUCACUAUCUACAUUCCAUAAAAUUGUGCACCACAAAUAGGAGCCAGCGAAUAGAUCUGCGAUCCUGUAAAAAGACAUCAUUAUUCCUUGUGGGAAAAAAAUAAUUUGCUAAGAUGGAGGGUUGCGCUUAUUGCAGCACUUAAUCCAACACCUUACUGCACGAGCUGACAACAGCUAUGCACCACCUGUGUCCGUGUUCCUAAAGACACCCCUCUUUUUAAAAAGAAUUCAUGGCAUGUCAAACCCCUGAUAAGAAUACCUAGAUUUAAUCGGAUCCAAUUUGAGGGAUUUUGUAGGUUCAUUAAUCAAGACUAGACGGAAGAAUUUCGUAAGUCUACAAAAAUUGAAGAUACGGAUCAAGAAAUAUACAUGCAAAAAAUGGAUUUUAAUUUUAUUUUUGAACACUUUGUUUUUCUCAUUCGAUCCUCUUUUAGGCUAUAGUCACCUAACCUAACCUAACGAGUCAAAUGUUUUAAUCUCCAAUAACCAAAGAGCUAGGAAAAUGUCCCCCAUAAGUGGUGACACAUCCAACCACACGUAGGUCGUUGCAUCGCAUUAAGCUUAUCACGAGUCAUAAAAUCACACAUAGUGUCCCACAUUUCCCUUUCACACUGUACGCAGCUUAACUCGGUUGCCCAUUUCCUUGGAUUUAAUGCUCCAACAAUCAUCCAUACAAGUAACAAUUAUUAUUAUUAUAAAUCUAAAUUAUAAUACAUGAAAUUAUAAACAAGAUUCAUUUGAUUGUAAACUAUACUUGUCUCAUUCCCUGUCCUAUGCAUAUUUUGUCUCCUGCUAAUAAUAAGUAAUUAGAAACAAUUAAAGGUUGUUUUCGGAUUCAGGUGAGUUACAGAUUAAUCAUUUGAGUUUCAAUUUUAAAUUUGUAGAUCUUGGUUUUGGUUUUAACAUCGAUUUGGCAUUGGUAAUUUUUGUUUUCUUUUGUAGCCUAUCUUUAGGUUUCUCUCUGUCUCAUUCCAAAGAAAAGGACAAAAUGUAACUGGCUUUGUCCUAUCCACAACUCAGGCCCAGAGGUGGUGGAUAUUUCUCCACCUCUACUCACCUGACUUCGCCUAGUCUCUCUCUCUCUCUCUCUCUCAUGCGCGCAUGUCAGAAAAGAUAUAAUAUAAACCACGUAAGAGAAGAGAUAAUGGAAUAAGAGACAAAAAUAUAUUCCAUAAAACGAUAGAUGUGGAAAUGAAAUUUAGAACAUUUUAGAACUGAAGAGAUUUAAAACUGACUCUGAUCUCAUAUUUAUCUAAAAAGCCAAUUCUACAUGGAAGCACUACUUUUAUACCAAGUAUCAGAGAGCGCGAGCCCAUAAUUGCAAAAGCACAAGCAGAGUAUCAAACUCCAAACUUGAAUAACAGUCACUGGACUAAGUCGGUGGAUGUUCAGUUGCGUAACUCUUGAAACCUUCACUAUUCAAAACUAAUGGGGCACGAGAUUAUAUAUGCAUACAAUGUAUCGUCUAAUUUUUGAAUUAUUAACAAUAUUGUACUUGCUAUGCAUGUUUAGUUACAAAAAUUAAGUAGAAAUCGAAGGAGUGAAGCUUCUUACCUGAUUUUGGCAAUACUGAUAUGUCCAUAAUCUGACCUGAAAAGUCAUUAUAAAGCAUGAUUAAUUGUUUUAUAACAUGAAGUUUAGUUAUGUUUCGAGUUAUUUAGCUUAAUUUUGUAGGAUUAGAGAUAGACAAUACGAGUUUCGAUCCUGAUAGAUAUUUUAGGGCAAAGAGUUUUUUUUUUCGAGAGAUAGGUAGCACGCUACCCGCUUCGUUUAUUUCAUUAGAAAUAAACGAAGCUAGAAAUGUGAAUCAAGUAGGAUUCAAAUUUGGGUCUCGGGUACCAACUACCAAGCCCUUUGUCACUUGAUCUAGGGACAGUCGGUGGCAAAGAGUAUCAAAGAGAGAUUUUUUUUUUCCUUGGACAAUUUCUCGAUAGCUCCUUUUCAUAUUGAUCGUAAUGAAUAAUAAGACUAGAAAUUAAAAUCUUAACACUUAUUUAAGCUAAAUUAAGUUACUGCAUAAUUUCAAAAAAAAGAUCUAUUUCUAAAUGGCCAAAAGUAAAAAAUUAAUACUCAAUGAUGAAGUGUUAGACUGUAAAAUAGAUUAAGAACAGUAGUAAUGUCCUCUUACAUUUCCAAUUUGGAAUGAAAAAUAUCAGAAGAAUGAAGAUUCUUAUUUAUAGAUUAAUCUGUACAUGCAAACACACAGUUGCAGCUUGAUAAGAUGGGAAUAAUUUCCAUUCUUAUUUAUAGAUCCAUAGAUCCAUCUACUUGUAUACUAAUUAUUCUCUGUUUUGUUCUCUACAUUAUUUUGUCCUUUUCUUUCUUUUUCUUUCUUUUUUUUUUUCCCUCUCUUCUUCUCUCCUUUAGUACAUGGUGAUCUCUAUUUACAUCCUAAUAACUAGUUUAUUGUAAAAAUAUGCUUGAUGUACCUCCAUGUGUAGUUGUACCACAUUAAUUUUCAAAGCAAAAAAGGUAAAUUAGGCAAAACAAGCACUCUCCAAUUUCACGGAGCUGCAAAUUACACCGAGACCGUGAAAUUUGAAUCAUAGAAUUUUUUUAAAAAACAACUUACUCUGGAGACUUGUAGCAGAAAUAUUCAAAUUUAUGGCCAACUCCGACGCUUUGACUUUUCACUUCAUAUUUACUCUGCAUGUGAAUCUACAUAAUUUAGCACUCUUGCUUGAUGCUGACUCUCAUUUUGCUUAGUGUAAUUUUGAAUUAUGACAUUAUAUAAUAAUUCUGAUUUGGGAUGUACUAGGAAAAGACAGAGUAAUUAAAAUAACACAUCAAUCUCAAGAGGUGCCAAAACAAAUGUUUAAUGAAAAAAAGUGCUAAAAUGUAUUGUAGGGCCUAAGCCAAAUAAGUGGACCUCUACAGUGGUCCAUGCAAUGAAACAGUGUCUCAGCUAAGAUUCUCGGUCACCCUGUAACCUAUUCAGAUGUAGCCUGGCUCUCUUCAGAUGCAAAUUGUCAUAUAAUAGCUUUGCUCUCCAAAAAAAAUUCCCCCAAAAAUCCCCCUUUCCUUUUUUGAGAAUAGAGAAAUACCACAAUUUUAGCAAAAAAUGAAAGAUCAUCUUUCUAGGUCCCACAGAUCAAUCAGUAAAUUGUAAUUGAAGUUUCAGGCUUUUUAUUUCAGGUGUAAAGGGUUUUUUUUUUUUUUUUUUUUUUUUUUUUUUGGAGUACAAUGUGCUCUUAGUUUUGGUCAAUCAAAAGUGCUCCUUGGGAUGUUUUGCUGUUGUUUUGAGGACCAAAAUAUAAGUUCUGAGUUAUCUACUUACUUGACACCCAUGGGCCACUCUAUCUAGCAUUCAGAAAUAGAUUAGAAUUGUUUUAACAAUUCAAUUUCGCUUGCUCGUAACUUCUUAUUAGGGAUUCGAUAAUUCCAUUUUAGCAGGAUAAUUUGAUAUUCAACAAUCUCAGCCUCGUCUCAUGACUCUUCAAACUUGCAAUAUUCUAAGUCUUUCUUUUUUUUUUCAAUAUUUUUUUUUAUCUUAUUCUCUCUAAUUCAAUUCAGACAAAUUUUUUGCUAUAUUUUCAUCAUAAUCUAGCUAAUAUAACCUGAAAAUUCCAAAUUUAUUUAUUUAUUUUCUCAAAUUAGGCCUGAGGUCUGCUACAAUCUUGGGAAACAGAGAGGUAGGCAUGCUGUAGUUGGCCCACAGGCAGGCACAAGGACAAAUGGAAUGGGAUCACCACCACCCACACAGCAUUCAAUAAAAGAAACAAGCCAUUUACCCUCCACCAUAUUCUUCUAAAAAUCCUCAAGAUUCAUACAAACAAGUAAUUCUAAAACUCGACAGAACUGAAAUUCAAUGGCUAAUGCUGAUCUUAAGAAAGAUUGGGAUGAAGGAUAAAGGGUGCGAAUUUUCUACGUGCGCGUGCACAGAAUUUUUUCUCGCACGUAUCAGAAAAUUCUGCACACAGAAUUAUAAGCAAUCUGAGUCUAAGGAUAAAGAAGUUCUUGGAAAUGCCACCCCCCUCCCACCCAAUUCCUUUUUACUGUUUGACCAAUUGCAGGAAAAUGGCUCUCUGGGUAUUGCAUGCAGAAAAAAAAAAAAACUGCCACCCUCUUCGAAAGGGGGGGAGGGCCUCAUAAAAGAACAGCAGCAGGCCUUCACCACCCUUUUGACUGAAUUCAUUGAAGCCCUUCUUGAUUAACAUAAAAUGGAAUAGAAUAGAAGGCACAAAAGCAAAGACUGUAAUAAUUGUUAGAUGUAAAUUUAUGCACUUACCAUUUUUUGAGGGAAAAAUCUAUGCUCUUUGAAGAUACCCUCACACUAAAAAGGCAAUCUAGGGAAGUCCCUCUUUGAGGUUUCUUGUUACUUGAUGUGGCACUGAUUUCACAAACUAUUUGAUGAUCUUUCCUCAAACCUUAUUUUUUGUUUUGGCGAAAACGCCGAUAAAUGCCGAUGAUGCUUAAGGCUUUUGUUAGGAAACUGAAAUGAGAAAAAACUAAAUUUAAAAUAGAAUUUUUAAAAAAUGUUAUUGAAAAAAGUUAUCUGAACAUUUUUGAAAAACUAAAGUUGAAUAGGACACUUGCAUAAACCACACCAGGGCCAAAAAAAAGCUCUGGCUAACUAACCAAGAGAAAAUAGUAUAGGCCUCUGGAGAUUAGAUCAUUGGAAGUAGUUAAUCCUUACUAUGUAGUAUGUAUGUUUAAAUAAAGACAAAUAAGGGGGAAGCACAAAAAGAGGACCCAAACCAAACCAGGAGGGGUAUAAUUCCAUCAUCAUAUUUUAACUCCCUCAACAUCUUAUGCAGGAAACAUGAAACUUCCAAGGGGUCCCCCCCCAACACUCACCUCCUAUCAUAUACUAACAAAUAAUGUGUUUGUUUUAUGUGAAAGCCCAUACCAGAAUAUGUACUCAACAUUGGCUCUUCUUUUUUUAACAUAAGAGGCACCAAAUCCCAGAGUCUAAGCAGACAAGCAGUCAAACUAUACAAGGACACAUCAGAUAUGUAUAUACCAUUGCUUAAAACUAUCACAAUUCACAAUGGCUUUUGUAAUUAAAAACUGCAACUCUUUUCUUUUAUUCUUUUUUUUUUUUUUUGUCUGUUUCCAAUCCUUUUAUUUAGCCAGCCUUAGAUCCCAAAAAAAAAGAGAGAAAAAGAAACCACCUCAUAAAACUUCAAAAGGGCAGCAAAGAAGAAAAAAAAAGAAUACAAAAUUAAACUAACACAUCUCUCCCCAAAAUUUUCGCCUCACAGUCGCUUUUCUGUAUCAUGCUUCCAACUCAUGCUGGCUACUUCUAUCAUCUUAAAAGCAUGAUAUAAGGAAUCCUCCCAAAGGCAUUAUUUCUUUUUUCAAUUUUUUGGUUCUAUUCAUCAAGUCUCACCCAUCCAAGGUUUUUGGGCAAUUUGGAGACCACACCGAAAAAGAAAACCCUCAUUAAGCACAUAAACCCUUUUUUUUUUUGAAUUAUGAGACUGAUGGGUUGCUUAGUUUUCUCUUCUUUGCAGCUGGAGAGUGCUGAAGAGGAUUUGCAUGUGACCCAACUGUAAUAUCAUCACCACUCUUAGAACUUAGGCAUGUAGCAUCCAACACACCAAUUGGGCUCUGUGGCACUGAUGAAAUUAAUGGAACAGUUCCAUUACCUCUCUUCUUCUUCACCAAUAUCACUUCUUGAAUCAAUUCAUGACAUGCCAACACUCUCUCCUGCAACCAACAUUUUUCUUUUGUUCAAAACGCAUUUUUUUUAUAUUUUUUAUUUUCAUAGUGAGAUAAAUAUCUUAGUAUGUAGGAAAUACACUCCUCACCUUAUCUACAUGGAUGCCACUAAGAGCAUUGCUAAUAUCAAGAAUUUGACUAUCUUCUACUGCUGCCAGUGCCGCUGCAGCAGCAACCUCAGAAGGCUUGAAUUGUAGAAACUCAAUCCCUGCAUUUAUUUUUUGACCCAACUUGCGCAUUAGACUUGCAAUCACCAACACAGUGCAAUAGGUGAUGAAAUUGCAUAUUUAUGUAAUACUCAGACUAACCUUUGAGUGUGCUCAAUAUGAGAUCGACGGAUUGCAAAAUCAACGUAUUUGCCGGGGUUUUCCCAAUGAAUUUAGUAAGAAAGUGAUCUAAGAAAGAGAAAGGAGUCACAGCCUGCAUCCUCCACUUGAGGGUGCUCAAGACUAAAAGCUCCAUCCUUUGUAUGGUUUUUGGUUCAAACACAUAUUUUGCCUCACCAACCUGUUGGAAAUCGAUCAAUUUUAUUAACCGAUUGUUCAAAUAAACAACUUAAGAAUUUUUUUUUAAGAAAAAAAUAUCUAUUUUCGGUCCAUUCUUCACCUGUAAAUCUAGAGGUAGAGGAAUCUCAGUCUCCUCCAUUUUCACAGCAAGAGAUAAGCAGGCCACCGACAGCAACUGUGUCAUCCAAGCCUUAUCUUGCUGGAAAAUUACGAAAGAUUAGAAAAUGGAACCAAUAAUUUUAAUCAAAUUGAACAAACUUCUUUUAACAAAUUCCACAAAUAUAGUGCUGCAUAAGAUAAUCAAGGAAAAGUGUAAUGGUUGUUUUGAAAAUUUUCUUACAGGGAAUUCAUAAUUGGAGAGAAAUCGAUCCAAAUAAUUUACAGAUAAAUAGGCACUCAGUGGUCCAAAAUUGUAAUGACAAUGAACCUGUCCAUCAAGAUAAAAACAAAUAUUAGUCACAUGGUAUAAGAUUGGGGGGAAAUGAAGUAAGAAAAAGAACAAAAGAAAAAGGUGAAUCUUAUUCCUUUCUGAGAAAUAAAGAGGAAAACAAACAAUCCCCAGAUGGAAAGCAUAUAACAUAUUGAACUAUUCAAUCAUACAUUUCCUUUAAAUAGAUCAUAGGAAACAAAAGAAAAUGUGAUAAUAAGAAACUAAUAAGCAUUAUCAUCAAAAUGCACAUUUAUAUGGUGACAUCAGAAACAACUCUACAGCUAGUUGAAUAAAGAAGAUGUAUCCCCAUUGAUCAAUAGGCUCAUAAAUCAUGUACCCAUUUGCCCAUACAUCACCAAGAAUAAAAUGAAGGCAAAAGACCAUUGGUUAAAUCCACAAACAAAAGAGAAAAUGGUUAAAAUAAAAAAAUAAAAAAACCAAGUGCACCUUCAAAAUCCAAUCAAUGGCAUCUCUUCUAACUGAUGCUUCAAAUGCCCCAAUCUCCAACCUCUUGAAAUAACCUUCCAUUGGGAGAAGCUGAGGCUCCCUCUCAACAAGCAAAGCUACACAUUCCUCUGAUUGAGGAGGAAAAGUAACAUAAAAAUCUAAAUAAAAGCCACUCCUUUGGUUUGUAAUCAGGUCAUCUUCCUCAUCAGCAUCAAAGCAGAGGGUAUUGUUGUUCUCCUCUGAGCAUAGGAGGGAGGAUGAAGCAAAGCCAUAUCUAAUCCCCAUUUGAGAUAUAGAUUACAAAAAAAAAAAAAAAAAAAAAUGGAGUUGAAGUGAAAAAAUGGGAGAGCUUUCCUACUUUCCUUUGCCUUAAAUGGGCUAUUACAGUGAGAAAUAAACCUAAAGGAAGGAGCUUUCCAUGUUUUUUGUAGAAUAAGUAGAUAGAAUAGGAAGAAGAGAAUGGGGGGCACUGUUUUGUAGGGAGGAAGAAGAAAGAAACCUGGCCUGGGCAAUAAUUUCUUCAGAAGUAGAGACAGAGAAAAAGACAAAGUUAUUGCAGGGAGGGUGUGUUGUUAAAGGGACUUGGACCAACCAAAAGAACUCAAGUUACUAACAAGCAUUGGACUAAACCAGUGGUUGUUACUCAAAAAUGUCCUCUUGUAUACUGAGACUUCAAUUUCUACUUAUGCUUGUCACGCCUCUCAAAUAAAAAGGUUCCAAUACUCAGUUGCUUCUUAUUUUUAGUGCAGUUAGUAGUUUGAUGAUUAGUAUUCUAAAUCCUAAAUUAGGUACCUAAUUAUUUUACAUAGUCUGUGCGUAACCACAAAAACUAAAUAGAUAAAUUUGUGUGUAGAGCUACUAUACUAUCAAAAGUAUAAAGUAGUUGGUGCUUCCGAUUUUUUAGCCCUUGAAUCAAAAAUUUUACGGCUGGAAUGAUAGCGGUCCCUUUAGGAUUGAGUGGUCUCCAUUGGUUAAUAAUAUUAAUCCAAUUGCUAGAAAUAAUCAAUGGGGUUGAUCUAAAGGCUAAAAAAUCGGAAAUACCAACCACUUUAUGCUUCUGAUAGCAUAAUAGCUCUACUCUAAAGGCUUGUUUGGUUCGAAGUCGGAAUCAAAAUAAGCUGGAAUCGGAAUUGGAAUGACUCAUUACCUAAUUCUGUUUGGUUCAUCACCUGAAUCAGAAUCGAAAUAAAUCAUUUCCAUUGUCGGUGUUUGGUUCAAGUAAAUAUAAAAAAAAUGUAAUCAGAUCAAUAUACUAAUUUUAUCUUUAGAAUAUAUAAAUUUAAAUUCAAAUUAAAAAUUAAAAAUUAAAAAUUUACAUCAAAAUUUUGAAAUAAUGUCAAAAUUUUAAAUCUAUUUUUUUAAAAAAUUAAACUUUAAAGUUGAGUGGAUAAUUCAAAAUAUAAACUAAAUUUCGAUUUAUUCAAAUUCAAACUUAAAAUUAUAAUUUAAAUUUUAAUUUGAAUCCAUAAAUUUAAUUUAAGUUUUAAAUAAAAUUUGAAUAAAACUUUAUAUGAAUUAAAUUUUAAUUUAAAUUCAAAUUCAUAAGUUAAAUUCGAAAUUCUUGAUUAAAUUUUAAUUUUUAAUUCAAGUUGAAAUUAAAAUUUAAAAUUUAAAAUUUAAUUUCUAAAUUUAAAUUCAUAUUUUAAUUAAAAAAGUUAAAAUAAUAAAUUUAAUCCGAAUAAAUAUCCAUUCCGUCCGGAUUCAACUUCCAAUCCGGCCUUCCAGGCCAGAUUGGAAAAAGAGGUGAUUAAAAGAUUCCUAUUUCAUUCGGGAAUCGGAAUUGGAAUCGGAAUGGAACUUCCACGUACCAAACACUCACAAACGGAUUCGCCCAUUCCGAUUCUGAUUCUAUGGUGAAAAAGAAGCGAACCAAACACGUCCUAAAUUUGUAGAGUAUAUACCUAACGAAAGUUUGUCUUUAAUUAAUGUGUAUGUAGUCUUAAUAAUAGUAGACUUUAUUAUAAGUAUGCGGCGCAAAUGCAAUGCAGUUAAGUAAGAAUUGUUUUAACUAAGAAUGAAACAAGAGCAGGUAUGAGAUUCAAAAAAAGAGUUAAUUGGAUUGGAUAUGAUGAAAGUUGGAACCAAACUCUAACAUACUACAGGGAAAGCACUUGGACAAAUUGGCAACUUAAGUUAAUUGGUGGAUAAAUCCCUGCACAUUAACAUAUAGAUUGAGAUUUUUUUUAUUUUAAUCAAUAUAUGAUUAGCAUUCUUAAUGGGAGGACUCGUGCAAUUAACAUGGAAGAGAAAUAUAUGGGUGAGGACUGGAAGAGUAAUUGGUCAAUCUUUAGGGAUCGUAGAAUUGCAUUGAGCUUUUAAGAACGAUUCUCGUAAAAAUAAAUGAUGAAAAAAAAAAAGUUAUGAAUCUAGAGUUUGAA
This 32314-nucleotide long non-coding RNA is filed under the name Ananas comosus (pineapple). Its description in RNAcentral is "long non-coding RNA (ACOM_LNC000097)". The record is from RNAcentral. Lineage: Eukaryota; Viridiplantae; Streptophyta; Magnoliopsida; Poales; Bromeliaceae.